AUCCGGUCCAACCUUUGCCCUACUACCAAUGUCACCCCUUAAACCAUGUCCCUAAGCACCACACCCAACCUUUCCUUAAACACCCUCAGAGAUGGUGAUGCCACCACUUCUCUGGGCAACCCAUUCCAAUGCCUGACUGCUCUUUCUGAGAAGAAAUGUCUCCCAAUUUCUAACCUAAACCUCCCCUGGCCCGACUUGAGGCCAUUCCCUCUAGUCUUAUCACUAGUUACCUGUGAGAAGAGGCCGACCCCCAGCUCCCCACAUCUUCCUUUCAGGUAGUUGUAGAGAGCAAUAAGGUCUCCCCUGAGCCUCCUCUUCUCCAGACCAAACAACCCCAGUUCCCUCAGCCACUCCUCACAGGACUUGCGCUCCAGGCCCUUCACCAGCUUCGGAGCCCUUCUCUGGACACGCUCCAGGGCCUCGAUGUCCUUCUUGUAGUGAGGGGCCCAAAACUGAACAGAGUACUCCAGGUGCAGCCUCACCAGAGCAGAGUACAGGGGGAUGAUCACCUCCCUGGUCCUGCUGGCUACACUAUUCCUGAUACAAGCCAGGAUGCCGUUGGCCUUCUUGGCCACCUGGGCACACUGCCGGCUCAUGUUCAGGUGAGCAUCAACCAAUGCCCCCAGAUCCUUUUCCUCUGCACAGCUUUCCAGCCACUCUGCCCCAGGCCUGUAACAUUGCAUGGGGUUGUUGUGACCAAAGUGCAGGUCCAAGCACUUAGCCAUGUUGAACCUCAUCCCACUGGCCUUUGCCCAUCGACCCAUCCUGUCCAGGUCCCUCUGCAAGGCCUUCCUACCCUCCAGCAGAUCGACACUUACUGCCAACUUGGUGUCAUCUGCAAACUUACUAAGGGUGCAAUCAAUUCCCUCACCCAAAUCAUCAAUAAAGACAUUAAAGAGGAUGGGCCCCAGCACCGACCCCUGGGGAACACCACCAGUGACCAAUCACCAUCUGGAUUUCACUCUAUUUACCACUACUCUCCAGGCCUGUCCAUCCAGCCAGUUUUU
This 1007-nucleotide long non-coding RNA is filed under the name Anser brachyrhynchus (Pink-footed goose). Its description in RNAcentral is "lncRNA (ENSABRG00000016269.1)". The record is from RNAcentral. Lineage: Eukaryota; Metazoa; Chordata; Aves; Anseriformes; Anatidae.